RNAcentral lists this ribosomal RNA (612 nucleotides) under Triticum aestivum (bread wheat). RNAcentral's name for it is "partial small subunit ribosomal RNA". The record is from RNAcentral. Lineage: Eukaryota; Viridiplantae; Streptophyta; Magnoliopsida; Poales; Poaceae.
AUGACCUACCUCAUCGUCAAUACUCCGGUUCUUUUCCGCCUUUCCAUGAGUAGGAAGAUGAAGGACGCUCCCAAAAUGCUAGAUGAACUAGUUGUGGAGAUGAACAUUUUCCACUUCCUACAGCAUGCCGAUGCACCAACCAUUGUUCAUCCGCAAACACAUUCUCAUGUUGAUGAAUCAGAGAAAGUCGGCAAACAAGAUGAGAAGGAACAAGUGGUAAAGAUAUUGCUCGACCACUCCCACAAAAACAGUGAUAAUAAUAACGUUAUGGUGCUCCCAAUAGUUGGUAUGGGGGGAAUCGGUAAGACCACCCUUGCUCAACUUGUGCACAAUGAUCAAAGAGUGGUGCAUCAUUUUGAGUUGGUUAUAUGGGUCCUUGUCUCUGAUAAAUUUGUUAUCAAAGAAAUAAUCCGGUCUAUAAUACAAGUGGCCACGAUGAAGAAAUGUGAUUUUGCUAACAUGGAGACAUCGCAGAAGGAUCUUAUUCGGGUGUUGGGCAAGAAAAGGUACCUCCCAGUGGUAGAUGAUGUUUGGAAUGAAGAUAGACAGAAGUGGAAUGAUGUGAGAUCAUUGCUAUGUUCACAUGCUGGCUCGGGUAACAAGCCGCAGUGA